Molecule: transfer RNA, 65 nt
Filed under: Uroplatus phantasticus
Lineage: Eukaryota; Metazoa; Chordata; Lepidosauria; Squamata; Gekkonidae
Description: tRNA-Phe
Source: RNAcentral
GUUUUAAGUAGCUUAACACAAAGCACGGCCCUGAAGUUGCCGCGAAGGAUGCACUCCCUAGAACA